Sebastes umbrosus (honeycomb rockfish) is the source of this 485-nucleotide long non-coding RNA. RefSeq lists it as uncharacterized. The record is from RefSeq and is a predicted model, not a curated record. NCBI's taxonomy places the organism in Eukaryota, Metazoa, Chordata, Actinopteri, Perciformes, Sebastidae. The transcript is spliced from 3 exons.
UUAGUGCACCAAUCACAGCAGACGACGAUGUAACAAGGAGUGGGCUAUUCAGCCGCUCACAGAUACAAUAAAUGAAAAGCAAAACUUCUACACAGGACAGAUAUCAUUUCAUUUUCACAGUUAGGAGAGCGACUGACAGCAUGUGUCUGAAACCACAUCUACAAACUUUGAGCUCCAUGUUUGUUAAGCAAACGUUAUCUUCACAUUUCAGCAAAUCAAACAUGAACGGUCAGCUUUACCUGAAACGGAUUCUUCCCAGUAUGACUGCUGUGUGGUUAUGGCAAUGUCUCAUGCUGCUGAGACUAUGGCAUUCCUACUGUGGAUCUGGGUACCAGUGGUGGAAAGUUACUAAGUACAUUUACUCAAGUACUGUAUUUAAGUACAAUUUUGAGUUACUUGUACUUUGUGUGAGUAUUGUAAUUUUACGCUACUGUACUUUAUACUUCUACAUCACUACAAUUCAGAGGGAAAUAUUGUCGCCUACU